AACGAACGCUGGCGGCAUGCCUAACACAUGCAAGUCGAACGAGACCUUCGGGUCUAGUGGCGCACGGGUGCGUAACGCGUGGGAACCUGCCCUUAGGUUCGGAAUAACUCCCCGAAAGGGGUGCUAACACCGGAUAAUGUCUUCGGACCAAAGAUUUAUCGCCUUUGGAUGGGCCCGCGUUGUAUUAGCUAGUUGGUAGGGUAAAAGCCUACCAAGGCUACGAUCCAUAGCUGGUCUGAGAGGAUGAUCAGCCACACUGGGACUGAGACACGGCCCAGACUCCUACGGGAGGCAGCAGUGGGGAAUAUUGGACAAUGGGCGAAAGCCUGAUCGAGCAAUGCCGCGUGAGUGAUGAAGGCCUUAGGGUUGUAAAGCUCUUUUACCCGGGAUGAUAAUGACAGUACCGGGAGAAUAAGCUCCGGCUAACUCCGUG
This 433-nucleotide ribosomal RNA is filed under the name uncultured bacterium. RNAcentral's name for it is "partial 16S ribosomal RNA". It matches the Rfam family "Bacterial small subunit ribosomal RNA", at positions 29 to 507 of the family's 1533-position model. The record is from RNAcentral.